UCAGGAUGAACGCUGGCGGCGUGCCUAAUACAUGCAAGUCGAGCGAACCACUUCGGUGGUGAGCGGCGAACGGGUGAGUAACACGUAGGUGAUCUGCCCAUCAGACGGGGACAACGAUUGGAAACGAUCGCUAAUACCGGAUAGGACGAAAGUUUAAAGGUGCUUCUGGCACCGCUGAUGGAUGAGCCUGCGGCGCAUUAGCUAGUUGGUAGGGUAAAGGCCUACCAAGGCGACGAUGCGUAGCCGACCUGAGAGGGUGAACGGCCACACUGGGACUGAGACACGGCCCAGACUCCUACGGGAGGCAGCAGUAGGGAAUCUUCGGCAAUGGGCGAAAGCCUGACCGAGCAACGCCGCGUGAAUGAUGAAGGCCUUCGGGUUGUAAAAUUCUGUUAUAAGGGAAGAACGACUUUAGUAGGAAAUGGCUAGAGUGUGACGGUACCUUAUGAGAAAGCCACGGCUAACUACGUGCCAGCAGCCGCGGUAAUACGUAGGUGGCGAGCGUUAUCCGGAAUUAUUGGGCGUAAAGAGCGCGCAGGUGGUUGAUUAAGUCUGAUGUGAAAGCCCACGGCUUAACCGUGGAGGGUCAUUGGAAACUGGUCGACUUGAGUGCAGAA
This 617-nucleotide ribosomal RNA is filed under the name uncultured bacterium. Its description in RNAcentral is "bacterial SSU rRNA". It matches the Rfam family "Bacterial small subunit ribosomal RNA", at positions 24 to 653 of the family's 1533-position model. The record is from RNAcentral.